UACGGAGGGUGCGAGCGUUGUCCGGAAUCACUGGGCGUAAAGGGCGCGUAGGCGGCCUGAUAAGUAGGGGGUGAAAUCCUGCGGCUUAACCGCAGGGCUGCCUUCUAAACUGUCAGGCUAGAGCACAGUAGAGGCAGGUGGAAUUCCCGGUGUAGCGGUGGAAUGCGUAGAGAUCGGGAAGAACAUCAGUGGCGAAGGCGGCGCUCUGGACCGAGACUGACGCUGAGGCGCGAAAGCGUGGGGAGCAAACAGG
Molecule: ribosomal RNA, 253 nt
Filed under: uncultured bacterium
Lineage: Bacteria
Description: partial 16S ribosomal RNA
Rfam family: Bacterial small subunit ribosomal RNA
Source: RNAcentral